Molecule: ribosomal RNA, 262 nt
Filed under: uncultured bacterium
Lineage: Bacteria
Description: partial 16S ribosomal RNA
Rfam family: Bacterial small subunit ribosomal RNA
Source: RNAcentral
GACAGAGGCCCCCAAGCGUUAUCCGGAAUCACUGGGCGUAAAGGAUGUGUAGAUGGUUGUGCUAGUCUCCCGUAAAAACUUCUUGCUCAACAGGAAGCCCGCGGGGGAAACGGCACGACUUGAGGGCGCGAGAGGUAUAUGGAACUCAUGGUGUAGGGGUGAAAUCCGUUGAUAUCAUGGGGAACACCAAAUGCGAAGGCAAUAUACUGGCGCGUUCCUGACAUUGAGACAUGAAAGCGUGGGUAGCGAAUGGGAUUAGAAA